Molecule: non-coding RNA, 74 nt
Organism: Trichonephila clavipes
Lineage: Eukaryota; Metazoa; Arthropoda; Arachnida; Araneae; Nephilidae
Source: the annotation of a GenBank genome assembly
GUCCCUGCAGCACAAUGGAUAGUGUGUUGGGAUUUUAAUCCAAAGGUCCGUGGGUACAAAUUCCACCUGGGAUG